Molecule: ribosomal RNA, 538 nt
Filed under: uncultured bacterium
Lineage: Bacteria
Description: partial 16S ribosomal RNA
Rfam family: Bacterial small subunit ribosomal RNA
Source: RNAcentral
UGGGGAAUAUUGCACAAUGGGCGAAAGCCUGAUGCAGCAACGCCGCGUGAGUGAUGAAGGCCUUCGGGUUGUAAAGCUCUGUCUUUUGGGACGAUAAUGACGGUACCAAAGGAGGAAGCCACGGCUAACUACGUGCCAGCAGCCGCGGUAAUACGUAGGUGGCAAGCGUUGUCCGGAUUUACUGGGCAUAAAGGAUGCGUAGGCGGAUUCUUAAGUGAGAUGUGAAAUACCCGGGCUUAACUUGGGUGCUGCAUUUCAAACUGGGAAUCUAGAGUGCGGGAGAGGAGAAUGGAAUUCCUAGUGUAGCGGUGAAAUGCGUAGAGAUUAGGAAGAACACCAGUGGCGAAGGCGAUUCUCUGGACCGUAACUGACGCUGAGGCAUGAAAGCGUGGGUAGCAAACAGGAUUAGAUACCCUGGUAGUCCACGCCGUAAACGAUGAGUACUAGGUGUAGGAGGUAUCGACCCCUUCUGUGCCGCAGUUAACACAAUAAGUACUCCGCCUGGGAAGUACGAUCGCAAGAUUAAAACUCAAAGGAA